This 72-nucleotide transfer RNA is filed under the name Paragonimus skrjabini miyazakii. Its description in RNAcentral is "Paragonimus miyazakii tRNA". It matches the Rfam family "tRNA". From Rfam's summary of the family: Transfer RNA (tRNA) molecules are approximately 80 nucleotides in length. Their secondary structure includes four short double-helical elements and three loops (D, anti-codon, and T loops). The record is from Rfam by way of RNAcentral. Lineage: Eukaryota; Metazoa; Platyhelminthes; Trematoda; Plagiorchiida; Troglotrematidae.
UCCUCGGUAGUAUGGUGGUGAGUAUCUCCGCCUGUCACGUAGAAGGCCCGGGUUCGAUUCCCGGCCGUGGAG